Long non-coding RNA from Bufo bufo (common toad), 192 nucleotides. RefSeq lists it as uncharacterized. The transcript has 3 exons. The record is from RefSeq and is a predicted model, not a curated record. NCBI's taxonomy places the organism in Eukaryota, Metazoa, Chordata, Amphibia, Anura, Bufonidae.
CACCUUCUCGGAGAUUGUGCAUGUAUCCCUGCAAGUAGCUCCGCUUCACUGAUCUGUGGUAACGAUGCUCACACAACCACCUGGACUGGCUGCCGGCUUUUCCUUUAAGGUUCCAACCAGAUGUGUUCCUAAAUUCUCCCAUUCCGCUGUAUUUAAAGAGUGCAGCUAAACAGGAAGAAUCAGGAAUACAUU